GUGGGGAAUCUUAGACAAUGGGCGCAAGCCUGAUCUAGCCAUGCCGCGUGAGCGAUGAAGGCCUUAGGGUUGUAAAGCUCUUUCGUGGGGGAAGAUAAUGACUGUACCCCAAGAAGAAGCCCCGGCUAACUCCGUGCCAGCAGCCGCGGUAAUACGGAGGGGGCUAGCGUUGUUCGGAAUUACUGGGCGUAAAGCGCACGUAGGCGGACCAGAAAGUCAGAGGUGAAAGCCCGGGGCUCAACCCCGGAACUGCCUUUGAAACUCCUGGUCUUGAGGUCGAGAGAGGUGGGUGGAAUUCCGAGUGUAGAGGUGAAAUUCGUAGAUAUUCGGAGGAACACCAGUGGCGAAGGCGGCCCACUGGCUCGAUACUGACGCUGAGGUGCGAAAGCGUGGGGAGCAAACAGGAUUAGAAACCCUGGUAGUCC
Molecule: ribosomal RNA, 425 nt
Filed under: uncultured bacterium
Lineage: Bacteria
Description: partial 16S ribosomal RNA
Rfam family: Bacterial small subunit ribosomal RNA
Source: RNAcentral